RNAcentral lists this unclassified non-coding RNA (343 nucleotides) under soil metagenome. RNAcentral's name for it is "partial contains 5.8S ribosomal RNA, internal transcribed spacer 2, and large subunit ribosomal RNA". The stretch from base 1 to 120 matches the Rfam family "5.8S ribosomal RNA", at positions 35 to 154 of the family's 154-position model. The record is from RNAcentral.
GAUGAAGAACGUAGCGAAAUGCGAUAAGUAAUGUGAAUUGCAGAAUUCAGUGAAUCAUCGAAUCUUUGAACGCACAUUGCGCCCGCUAGUAUUCUGGCGGGCAUGCCUGUCCGAGCGUCAUUUCAACCCUCAAGCCCCCGGGCUUGGUGUUGGGGAUCGGCGAGCCUCCGCGCCCGCCGUCCCCUAAAUCUAGUGGCGGUCUCGCUGUAGCUUCCUCUGCGUAGCAGCACACCUCGCACUGGGAAACAGCGCGGCCACGCCGUUAAACCCCCAACUUCUGAACGUUUGACCUCGGAUCAGGUAGGAAUACCCGCUGAACUUAAGCAUAUCAAUAAGCGGAGGA